AUGUUACUGAAGAAACUGGAGCAAAGAGAAGACUGGCCCAGAGAGACUGAACACAAGUUCCUUUUGAACAGCCUUAAAACACAUAGAGUGCUUCUGACGAUUGGGAGCUCAUGGGAUGUGGCAGCUUCCAAGGUUUCUGGAUCUUCGAAAAGAAAAGAAAGAGGUAAAAAGGAGGUAGGUGGAUUGCAGAUGGUGGUGAUUCACUCACCAGGGUGUAACAAAGGUGCUUCCUACAAGCCUGCUUGCAAAAUUCUGCAGUGGUAAGUAAAAUAAAUGUCUGUUUUCUAAAAGGAAAUUGACACCAGAAAAUUAUGGUGCUGUUAGAUUGAGUUGCUUGGCUCUUUAGAUAGAAUUAAGGAAAUUUAAACCACAUGAGUGUAUGAGAUCCAAAGUUUCCAUUUAAGUUGUAAACUAGACUUCUUGCCUGUGUAAUUAGUUUAGAAAUCCAAUAUUCUACCUUUUCAUAAAUCUAACUCAACUACAACAAAAUUGAUUUUGAAAUGACCUUACCCCAUGAGGACAUGAAUGAUACAUUCAUACAAUCCUUCUUAAUUAAAAUAUCUCAUGAAGUGCUAACAGCCCUAUUUUAGAUUUCAUGACCGCAGAAAACCAAAAAAUGGAAGGAAAAAGAAAAGUUUCUUAUCAAUAAAACCUGCAAAGAGAUUGUGACUGAGGAAAAUGCUCAGGAAGUGUUUCCCCGAGGAAAGCGAUUAGAAGAAUGUGUUUUGAUUAAAUGUAUUUUGUUUAUUAAGUUCCAAGUACAGCCAUCUGGUCAGAUGCUGACCUCUGUCUGUUGUCUAGAGGACUUAGGAAGGUGGGAGGUACAGCUAGUCCUCUCCUAUACCCAGUGUUGAGCUUUUAGAUAAAGGACCUAUUUCUUUUCCUGGCACAUACAAAGAAAGAAGUAGUACAUGAUUUCUUAUAGGCUUUUAGUCUUGUAUUUAACUUUUAUUUGCAUUCUACAUUUCUGAUAUAUUUAACAAUUCCUAUUUUAUGACUAAUUCCAUGCUUCAAAUGGAAUUUCAAAGGCAGUUGCUGUGAAAUAUUUUCUUCUGAAACAUGUUGCAAAUUGUUACAUUUAAAACUAUUUACAUUGUCAAGCUAACAGUUCUUCCCUUUUAGUUAUAUUAAGCACUACAUUUUUUAGGCUAAUGGAGUGAUAUUUUUUUAUAUUGGAAUAGAAAUUGUACAGAGGAGCUUAUCUGAUUCUGUAAGAGUUGCUUGUAAAAGUGCAAUGACAAUGAAUGCUAGCAGUAUAUUUGAAGCGGUUUUGUAGAGCAUUGUAUGAGAAAUCCACGUUACCGGAAGCCAAGGACCACGAGUGAAACAAGAUCAUUUGGCGGUGUAAUCAGAAUUAAGCAAGACAAAAGAAAAAGCAGUGUAGAAAAUUAAUUUAAGCAGAACUUUUAAGCUUAAAAGGAGCAUGUGGCAGAGUAUAUCAAACGUUGUCACCUCAUUUAUCCUUCAGUUUUGGGUUCAGUAACUUGUUUCUGAGCUGGAGGCAAGGCAGAAGUUGUUUUUUUUGCAGCAAGGAUCAUUGUUCAGAAAGCCUCUGUUACAAUCACUGUGUUUUCUUGACCAAAAAAAAGUGUUGAAGCCCAAAGUGUAAAGUAAGUGCUCAACUAUAACAAAGUGGGAGAGCAUGAGAUUCAGCGAAUUAGAAUAAGCGGCACAGAGACCUCGUUACAGUAGGGAAACAGAUCAGGAUGCUAUUUACCUUGAAUGGAAAAAGUAAACUGUGGCUCACAGGUAGCAUUAGGAGGAGAAUCUUCCCUGUCUUAAUAACAUGUAAUGAGAGUAGCAUGAGAAUGUUUGAUUCCUUUGGUAUGUCAGUGAUUAUUUGUUAAUUAUAGCACAAACUAAAAUUGUGGGGCUGUGCAACUGCACAACAGAGCAUCUGACAAGAAGACAGCAUCAGUCUUCUGUGAAUGAUCAGUUUCCUUUUGCAUGGCAUAGAUAAGGGAUAGGCAAAAAGCACCCAGCCUGGGGAGUGGCACCCCAAGAGCCUCUUUGGGAAAGUGAGGAGAGGAAAGGAGCUGCGUGUUUGAAGGAGAGCCUGUCUCUCCUUCCCCUGUGUGCGGAAUGGGGAACUCUAAAGGGAAGGGUUUUGGAUGGUACCUGUGGCUGAAGCUGGCUCCCAGGUGUUUUCUCACACCUCUUUGGGGCUGUUGAUAGUGUGGCUGAUGGAAAAGGCUGAAGUGGGUCCAAGGAUGUAUUUGGUUGGCUUUGUGGUGUCUUGUGCAAGUCUUCCACUCACCGUGCUGGGAAGGAAACUACGUGUGGUUGGCCUGGGUUAGUGCUAAGGUGGUAAUGGGUUCAUGAGUUGACUGGGUGAUCUUAGUGGUCUUUCUAACUGUCAUGAUUCUACGAUUCUUUGCCUUGCAUUGGGAACCAGCCAGAGGCUGAGCACUCCAAGAGGGUGUAUCUAAGCAUUAAUCAGGUAUGUUGUUUUUUUUCUUCAUUCUUAAUGGAAUCUGAUGUUUUCAAAAUUUUUGUGUUUUAUCCGAGCCUCUAAGAUACAUCACAACUUUAUGUACAUCUUAAUAAUUUUGCAUUUUAACUGGAUUAGUGUGUGUAAACGCAAGCAGUAGAAAUUUAAAAUGCAACAGGCAAGGUUGUGUGACUGCAACUGCACCCCAAAAUGCGCUAAGAAAUCUCUGUAAAGUAGAAGAAUAAGAUUUCUGUUCAGGGUUGUUUUCCUAUCACAUUCAGCUUCCUUCUGUAGGCGCAGACAAUUGAGUGAUACCAGCAGAUUUGUCCCUAUAAGUAAGGCCUUCCUGCCUAUAUAGCUCUUUUCUUCCCUGCCACAGCUUAUUGCCUUUUUUCUUAAUUGAAUUUGUAUACCUUCUGCGAUGGUUUCACACAAACACCCAAUGUUGCCAUGCCUCACUUUGAAUGGGGCUGUGCGUGUUACUGAGGUGCAUAUUAAUAGUAAACAUAAAUGUGAGGUAGCCCUGUAGGGUAAUGAUGUCCUGUCUGUUUAUGCAGAGAGUGACAAAUACUCUUAUGUAUUUUCCAGUAUUCCAUGACUCUCAUUGAUUUUUAGUGUCUUCAGGGAGAGCAAAUUGUGAAUUUACUUUGGGAGUUUUGUAGAAUUGCAAAUCUCAGCAGUUAUCCUGCAGUUUGGUUGUAUAUGUCCCACGUGAGGUUCUCCUCACUGCAGUGAUACAAAGAGUCCUUGGAUCCUAUUGGCAGGGACUUAUCUUUGUCAACAACUUGAUACUGGAAAGACUGAGCCUUCCUGGGAUCCUGAAGUAACAGAUUCAGAGUAUGUGCCAUAUCUAGCCUCACAGCCCUUGAAGGGUGGAAAGUAAAACAAACUCAAUCUCUUCUGGUAACUCAAUUUAGUAUUAUAAUUUUGAUGAAUAAGUAAUAGAGUCAGCUUGAGAACAUAAAAAUAAUUGAGUGAUAAGCAUCCACUUUUUUGGCCAAGAAGCUUUUAAAUCCAUCUGCAGAGCUAAUUUUGUCAAUUGAUGUGUUUCAGCAUAUACCAGUCUUUGCUCUUCUGUAACUGCCAUGGUGUGAGUAUGACACCUGGGAAGGUAAGAGAGCACACCUCAGAAAUGCUGUUACAGAAAAAGCUUCUCUAUAGCAGCGGUGCAGCUGCUGAUUAUGGAUGCUGCACUGCAUUUGCGUUUUGUCCCAAUUAACCUGCCACCUUCUCUAAAUGAAGCUUGUACAAAUGUUUCCAUGCUUGACUACCAAAUGUCGCUGCAGCUCAGUGCACUCAACAGAGGGUUGGCUGUUUUAUGUCUUCUUUGUUAGGGCAUUAAAUUGAUUAUUUAUACGUUAUUAUAGCAAGUGCAUCAAUUUAAUACUAUAAUAAAAUUGUGGUUGAAUGUAUUUUAAGAUGUGCUAAGUGAAAAAAUGUAUAUAGUUGGACGUUGUUGAAUUGUAGUAAUACGAACCGGGCAGAAAGCAAAAACUAGAAGCUGCUUGAGACAUUUAAUGACUGUGUUAACAUUCCUGAUAGUAAAUUACAAGGUAAUUUAGGGGAAAAAAUAUAGCAACAAAAGUGGUUUAAGCAGUUCUAAUAAUGUCAUGAAAGUGAAAAAAAAACACAUCCAAAUGGAGGACAGGUACAUCUCAGACUAUCCAAGUAAAUUGGUUACUCAGAUUAUCAAUGUCUCUUUAAGUACCUCUAACUAUAUAGUAUAAUACAGGAAUUGGCACAUAUAACUGUUCAAAGUGAUGCAGAGAAUUCUGCAGUGGGCAGAUGAAGGAAUGUAUCUACAGGUGUUGCAAGCACCAUGGAUACAAAAUCUAUUAACAGGGCUGAAGAAAAAAACAAAAACAAAAAAAACGCCAAGGAAUUAGUUGUUGUUUUUCCACAGUUGCUGAUCUGUAACAAAUUUGUGCUGUAGCUAAAUUACUGGAAAGGAAAUU
Molecule: long non-coding RNA, 4386 nt
Filed under: Meleagris gallopavo (turkey)
Lineage: Eukaryota; Metazoa; Chordata; Aves; Galliformes; Phasianidae
Description: lncRNA (ENSMGAG00000018425.1)
Source: RNAcentral